UGACUUCCCAAACUGUGCCAUUCCUGC
This 27-nucleotide non-coding RNA is filed under the name Mus musculus (house mouse). The record is from RNAcentral. Lineage: Eukaryota; Metazoa; Chordata; Mammalia; Rodentia; Muridae.